UGCCUCAGUAACGGCGAGUGAAGCGGCAACAGCUCAAAUUUGAAAUCUGGCCUCACGGUCCGAGUUGUAAUUUGCAGAGGACGUCUCGGGUGCGACGCCGGUCUAAGUUCCUUGGAACAGGACGUCAUAGAGGGUGAGAAUCCCGUACGUGACCGGCGAUCAACCCCAUACGAGGCCCCUUCGACGAGUCGAGUUGUUUGGGAAUGCAGCUCUAAAUGGGUGGUAAAUUUCAUCUAAAGCUAAAUACCGGCCAGAGACCGAUAGCGCACAAGUAGAGUGAUCGAAAGAUGAAAAGCACUUUGGAAAGAGAGUUAAACAGUACGUGAAAUUGUUGAAAGGGAAGCGCUUGCAACCAGACUUGCUCGUGGGUGAUCAGCCGCCCUUCGGGGCGGUGCACUGAUCCACGAUCAGGCCAGCAUCGGUUUCGGCGGCCGGAUAACAGGGGCGGGAACGUAGCUUCCUUCGGGAAGUGUUAUAGCCCGUCCCACAAUGCGGUCAGCCGGGACCGAGGACCGCGCUUCGGCUAGGAUGCUGGCGUAAUGGUUGUCAGCGACCCGUCUUGAAACACGGACCAAGGAGUUGACAAACAACGCGAGUCUUUGGGUGUCAAACCCACAGGCGCAAUGAAAGUGAACGGAGGUGGGACCCCCGUCAGGGGCGCACCAUCGACCGAUCCUGAUGUCUUCGGAUGGAUUUGAGUACGAGCGUUGGUUGUCUGACCCGAAAGAUGGUGAACUAUGCGUGAAUAGGGUGAAGCCAGAGGAAACUCUGGUGGAGGCUCGCAGCGGUUCUGACGUGCAAAUCGAUCGUCAAAUUUGCGUAUAGGGGUACNUACUGCUUUCCCCCUUCUUUUUACGAAUGAUAUACUAACAUUUUGCGUUAGGCGAAAGACCAAUCGAACCAUCUAGUAGCUGGUUCCAGCCGAAGUUUCCCUCAGGAUAGCAGUAACGUUUUCAGUUUUAUGAGGUAAAGCGAAUGAUUAGAGGCCUUGGGGAUGCAACAUCCUUAACCUAUUCUCAAACUUUAAAUAUGUAAGAAGUCCUUGUUGCUUAAUUGAACGUGGACAUUUGAAUGCACCGUUACUAGUGGGCCAUUUUUGGUAAGCAGAACUGGCGAUGCGGGAUGAACCGAACGUGAGGUUAAGGUGCCGGAAUUUACGCUCAUCAGACACCACAAAAGGUGUCAAUUCAUCCAGACAGCCGGACGGUGGCCAUGGAAGUCGGAAUCCGCUAAGGAGUGUGUAACAACUCACCGGCCGAAUGAAUUGGCCCUGAAAAUGGAUGGCGCUCAAGCGUAAUACCUAUACCUCGCCGCCGGGGUAGAAACGAUGCCCCGGCGAGUAGGCUGGCGUGGAGGUCCGUGACGAAGC
RNAcentral lists this ribosomal RNA (1369 nucleotides) under Trapelia obtegens. RNAcentral describes it as "eukaryotic LSU rRNA". It matches the Rfam family "Eukaryotic large subunit ribosomal RNA", at positions 76 to 1409 of the family's 3401-position model. The record is from RNAcentral. Lineage: Eukaryota; Fungi; Ascomycota; Lecanoromycetes; Trapeliales; Trapeliaceae.